RNAcentral lists this transfer RNA (73 nucleotides) under Chromatiaceae bacterium. RNAcentral's name for it is "tRNA-Ala". It matches the Rfam family "tRNA". From Rfam's summary of the family: Transfer RNA (tRNA) molecules are approximately 80 nucleotides in length. Their secondary structure includes four short double-helical elements and three loops (D, anti-codon, and T loops). Lineage: Bacteria; Pseudomonadati; Pseudomonadota; Gammaproteobacteria; Chromatiales; Chromatiaceae. The record is from RNAcentral.
GGGCCAUAGCUCAGCUGGGAGAGCGCCUGCCUUGCACGCAGGAGGUCAGGAGUUCGAUCCUCCUGGCUCACCA